This 70-nucleotide transfer RNA is filed under the name Ophisternon infernale. RNAcentral describes it as "tRNA-Met". Lineage: Eukaryota; Metazoa; Chordata; Actinopteri; Synbranchiformes; Synbranchidae. The record is from RNAcentral.
AGUAAGGUAAGCUAAAAUUAAGCUCUUGGGCCCAUACCCCAAAAAUGAAGAUUAAUUUCUUCCCUUAUCA